CACACUCUCUGAACCCACUGCU
This 22-nucleotide microRNA is filed under the name Cavia porcellus (domestic guinea pig). RNAcentral's name for it is "cpo-miR-12079-5p". Lineage: Eukaryota; Metazoa; Chordata; Mammalia; Rodentia; Caviidae. The record is from miRBase by way of RNAcentral.